This 90-nucleotide transfer RNA is filed under the name Alphaproteobacteria bacterium. RNAcentral's name for it is "tRNA-Ser". It matches the Rfam family "tRNA". Rfam says of the family: Transfer RNA (tRNA) molecules are approximately 80 nucleotides in length. Their secondary structure includes four short double-helical elements and three loops (D, anti-codon, and T loops). The record is from RNAcentral. Lineage: Bacteria; Pseudomonadati; Pseudomonadota; Alphaproteobacteria.
GGAGAGGUGCCGGAGUGGUCGAACGGGCCGGUCUCGAAAACCGGAGUACGGGUAACCGUACCGUGGGUUCGAAUCCCACCCUCUCCGCCA